RNAcentral lists this long non-coding RNA (250 nucleotides) under Mytilus galloprovincialis (Mediterranean mussel). The record is from RNAcentral. Lineage: Eukaryota; Metazoa; Mollusca; Bivalvia; Mytilida; Mytilidae.
AGAAUUUUCAGCAAUAAAAUAUUGGCUUCAUAUACUUGAGUCAAAUAUUUCACUUUCCCUAAAAAUAUAUAAAGCAACUGAAAAAAAUAACUCUUGGAUAAUAAAUAUGAAAAAUCUUAUUUCAAGACUUGGAUUUCAUUUUAAUAAUCUAAAUCCUAUUGAUAUUAAAAUGUAUUUAAAACCCAUUCAAGAGAGAAUCAACGAUAUAGCCUUCCAGAAGCAAAAGACGGACAUCAAUCAAAAUAAAAAA